This 253-nucleotide ribosomal RNA is filed under the name uncultured bacterium. RNAcentral describes it as "partial 16S ribosomal RNA". It matches the Rfam family "Bacterial small subunit ribosomal RNA", at positions 524 to 776 of the family's 1533-position model. The record is from RNAcentral.
UACGAAGGGGGCGAGCGUUGUUCGGAAUCACUGGGCGUAAAGGGCGCGUAGGCGGCCCUCCUUGUUGCGUGUGAAAGCCCCGGGCUCAACCUGGGAACGGCGCGCGAGACGGGGGGGCUGGAGUUCGGGAGAGGAGCGUGGAAUUCCCAGUGUAGAGGUGAAAUUCGUAGAUAUUGGGAAGAACACCGGUGGCGAAGGCGGCGCUCUGGACCGAGACUGACGCUGAGGCGCGAAGGCGUGGGGAGCAAACAGG